This is a non-coding RNA of Misgurnus anguillicaudatus (oriental weatherfish), 668 nucleotides long. Lineage: Eukaryota; Metazoa; Chordata; Actinopteri; Cypriniformes; Cobitidae. The record is from RefSeq and is a predicted model, not a curated record.
ACAUGCGAUUUAAUUCAUUUUAAUUUCUUAUACUUAAUAAUAAAAGGUUUACCGGUAUGUUUUAAAUCAUAUUUUAGGAUUGCACUUAAAUGAUAUCGCUGUUGAAUGAUAUUUCAUAUCUUUCACAUUUGUUAUAACUGGGCUGCGUACUGCCUGCGAAUUUGAACUUCAGAGCUGAAGGUGCGAGUGGAGAAAUAGUCCCAAUAUCAUAACAAUCUUAAAUAAAACUUCUAAAUAUACCCGUGUGUGUAAUACCCGUGUGCGUGCGUGUGUGCGCGCGCGCGUCCUCGCGCGUGUGCAUGUAUGUAUGUAUGUAUGGGCGUGCGUCUGUGUAUUUUGAAUUUAAAAUGUUUUAACUCGGAAGGAUCUGGAUCACAGGUCAUUUCAUAUGAGAUCAAUCCGCACGCAACAGCUGGAAUCACUUACUGUUUCACACAAGGAAGGACACAAGUCACCCGUUUCCUCAAGUUCACGUCAGAGGGAUACAUAGCGAGACAGUCUCCGCUUGGACUGGCUGAGGAAAGUCUCCUAAAUGGCCCUGGAGAUGUUCUGACUGACUUUGGAGGCUUUUUGGACUGUUUUAUGCCCUCUAUUUAAAGACUUAAUUCUGUAUGUUCAGUCUGUAUGAUAAGUGAAUAAGUGAAUAAAAAGCUUUUGUUUUUAUGUGA